RNAcentral lists this ribosomal RNA (442 nucleotides) under uncultured bacterium. RNAcentral's name for it is "partial 16S ribosomal RNA". It matches the Rfam family "Bacterial small subunit ribosomal RNA", at positions 338 to 795 of the family's 1533-position model. The record is from RNAcentral.
CCUACGGGAGGCAGCAGUAGGGAAUCUUUCACAAUGGGCGCAAGCCUGAUGGAGCAACGCCGCGUGCAGGAUGAAGGCCUUCGGGUUGUAAACUGCUUUUAUAAGCGAGAAAUAUGAUGGUAACUUAUGAUUAAGGAUCGGCUAACUACGUGCCAGCAGCCGCGGUGAUACGUAGGAGCCGAGCAUUAUCCGGAGUGACUGGGGGUAAAGAGGUGCGUUGGUGGUAUAAUGAGUAGCUGGUGGAAUCUGGGGGCUUAAGCAUUGAGACUGUUGGCUAAACUGUUAAGCUCGAGACCGUUAGGGGUAACUGGAAUUUGUAGUGUAGGAGUGAAAUGCGUAGAUAUUAGAAGGAACACCGAUAGCGUAGGCAGGUUGCUGGGACGGUUCUGACGCUAAGGCACGAAGGCGUAGGGAGCAAACGGGAUUAGAUACCCGUGUAGUC